This 384-nucleotide ribosomal RNA is filed under the name uncultured bacterium. RNAcentral describes it as "bacterial SSU rRNA". It matches the Rfam family "Bacterial small subunit ribosomal RNA", at positions 30 to 414 of the family's 1533-position model. The record is from RNAcentral.
AUUGAACGCUGGCGGCAUGCCUUACACAUGCAAGUCGAACGGCAGCACGGGAGCAAUCCUGGUAGCGAGUGGCGAACGGGUGAGUAAUAUAUCGGAACGUGCCCAGUCGUGGGGAUAACGUAGCGAAAGCUACGCUAAUACCGCAUACGAUCUAUGGAUGAAAGCGGGGGAUCGCAAGACCUCGCGCGAUUGGAGCGGCCGAUAUCAGAUUAGGUAGUUGGUGAGGUAAAGGCUCACCAAGCCGACGAUCUGUAGCUGGUCUGAGAGGACGACCAGCCACACUGGGACUGAGACACGGCCCAGACUCCUACGGGAGGCAGCAGUGGGGAAUUUUUGGACAAUGGGCGCAAGCCUGAUCCAGCAAUGCCGCGUGCAGGAUGAAGG